Molecule: long non-coding RNA, 4096 nt
Organism: Esox lucius (northern pike)
Lineage: Eukaryota; Metazoa; Chordata; Actinopteri; Esociformes; Esocidae
Source: Ensembl
GUUUAUUGGCCCAUAAACGUAAUUCAGGGUGAGGAACUAACUAACAUCAAAUUAAAAAAGUGAAAUUCUCCUUUAAUGGUCUUGGGUUAAUGAGUGAAGUUUUUUGUCAGGCCAGUGAAGUUCGGAAAAAGAAAAGCUGCUCAGCAGGGAAGCCAAUAACUCCUUGGCACCCCUCCUCUCAUUCCUCAGUUUGAUCAUAGGUCUAAAAGACUAUAGACAGAAGACAAUGAAGAGGAAUAUGAAGCACCUGCAAUACUAUCAAUUUCUAUUCUGCUACCUUCUGCUGACUAUCAAAGAUCAUGCACUCUGUGUCAAAGAAAUCACAAUUACUCCGGCUGAACCACAUGUCAAGCUGGGAGAUGCUGUGACCCUAACCUGUGAAACAACCUGUGAAGGCAAACCACAGUGGAAGCAACUAGACGACAGUGAUGCUGAAAUCACUUUCGAUGGGAAAAAAAGUUUUCUAAAGAUUGCAGCUGUACAGCUGGAUCACCAACAAACAUAUACCUGCACUGUGGCCAAAUGUCUUACACGGAAGAAGGAAUCAGUCAAGCUCAUCGUUGACAGUCUUUCCACAGAAGGAGUAGAUGUUGAGGUCAUUAGCAUUACGAAAAAAGAUACCAGAGUUACCCCAGAUCCUUUAAAAACAACAGUUAAGGCUGAUGUACUUCCAGUUCACACCACAGAAAACCCAACAGAGAUGUUGCCAACAACGACAUGGCCCGCUACUAUUAAUGCACUUAAGGAAAAAGGAAUAGAUGUUGAGGUCAGUAGCAUUACAAAAAAGCUACCAGAGGUUGCGUCCACAUCAUUUCUCCCUACCAAAACAAGAGAUCCACAAGUGGAAGAUCCUUCAAAAACAACAAUCAAGACUGAUAUAUUUCCAGUUCACACCACAGAAAAUCUAACAAAAAUGUUGCCAACAACAUUACUGCCCACCACUAUUAAUCAUCUAAAAGACAAAGGAAUAGAUGUUGAGGUCAGUAGCAUUACAAAAAAGCUACCAGAGGUUGCGUCCACAUCAUUUCUCCCUGCCAAAACAAGAGAUCCACAAGUGGAAGAUCCUUCAAAAACAACAAUCAAGGCUGAUAUAUUUCCAGUUCACACUACAGAAAAUAUAACUAAAAUGUUGCCAACAACAUUACUGCCCACCACUAUUAAGCCUCUGAAAGACACAGGGGCAGCUUCCAGCUCCACUAUAAUGGCCAUGGCUGUAGUGGGCUCAGUGGCAACUCUCUCAUUCCUGGGAUUCUUGAUUCACCUGAUCCGCCGGAAGAAACGCAAGUUGUCCCCUAAUGACAUGUAGAACCACCUGGAUGACUGCUGACCAAAAUUGCAUCAGCUUCAUCUCAUUUCAAGCUUUUUUUGUCCAAUAUAUUUAAUGCUAUUAUAACACUCCUUCAUACAGCUUUCCCUGCAUCAGCUUAAACCUAAUAUAAUACACUGAUCAAAAAAAUUUAAGGAACACUUAAAUCAUACAUCGGGUCUCGAUGAACGACAUAUGUUAAAGAUCAUAACCUUUACUGUACAUUGUGUAAUUAUCACGGUCGUAGGUAUGCAUGAUAUGUGGCGCAGAGCGAGUAAAGGGAAACAUCCUUUUAUUAUAACGCAAAAAAUAACAAAAGGAGAGGCAAACCUAACACAAACAAUGAUCCACAAGUGAAAAGUCCAAAAGGGAAACUUAAAUAGGGUCCCCAAUUAGAGGCAACAUGCGGCAGCUGCUGCCUCUCAAUCACCAACCGAUUGAGGGCUGGAUUCAAACUGAAAAUCAAAGUAAACAACUAAAAUCACAGGCUGUUCCAACUUAAUGUGACUCAUAAUGUGACCCAGUAGUGUGUGCCUGUAUGCAAUGCCGACAAUGUCUGGGCGUGCUCCUGAUGAGAUGGCGGAUGGUGUCCUUGGUGAUCUCCUCCCAGACCUGGAUCAGGGCAUCAGUGAACUCCUGGACAGUCUGUGGCACUACUUGAUAGGAUUCAGGUCUGGGAUUCAGGUCUGAGAACGUGAAACCGGUAAUGCUAGAUGAUGUUGUAAGCAACGUUCACCACAGCGUCUCCAGACUCUUUCAUGUCUGUCACGUGCUCAAUUUGAACCUGUGCUCAUCUGGGAAAAGAAUGUAACGCCAAUGGCGGACCUGCCAAUUCUGGUGUUCUCUAGUGAAUGCCAAUCGAACUGCAUGGUGCUGGGCUGUGAGCAUAGGUCCCACUAGAGGACGUCAGACCCUCAAGCCACCCUCAUGGAGUCUGUUUCUGACAAUUUGGUCAGAAAUAUGCACACAUUAGCCUGCUGGAAGUCUGGCUCUGGCAGUGCUCCUCCUGUUCCUCCUCACACAAAGGAGCAGGUACCGGUCCUGCUGCUGGUUUGAUGCUCUUCUAUGGCCCUGUACAGCUCUCCCCGUGUAACGGCUCGUCUCCUGGUAUCUCCUCCAUGUUCUUGAGACUGUACUGUGAGACACAGCAAACCUUCUUGCGACGGCACGUAUGGAUUUGCUAUUCUGGAAGAGCUGGACUGCCUGUGCAACCCGAGUGGGCUGUAGGUACCGCCACAUGCUACCAGUAGUGACAACCACACUAGCAAAAUGCAAAAAUAAAGAAGAAUCAGUCAGGAAGGAUAAGGAGAGAGCAAUUGUCUGUUGCCACCACCUGCAAACCAUUCCCUUUUUGGGGGUUGUCUAGCCGUUGCCUCUCCAGUAAACCUGUUGUCUCUUUCAUUUGCACCAAUGCAGUGACAUUGAUUCACAAUUGAUAUCCCUCAAAUUCACUUGGUGUUAUACUGUGAUGAUUGUGUUCCCUUAAUUUUUUAGCAGUGUAUUUGCUAUGGUACUACCUGAUAAAAUUAAGGACAAUGUACAAAGAAUGACACCCAAGAAGAACAGUCUAAUUUGGAAAAAAAUAUGUAACUAACAUGAAGUUUGAUUAAUAUCAUAUCCAUAUAAAAAGAAAAAUAUAGCAACAUUUUUGAUUUCCUGAGGUUUAUUUUAAAUAGACAUUCCUGUUUAGGUAUUUCUGUUGUGAUGUUAACUUUUUUUAUACAUUUCAUUAUACACCGAUGCAGGAGCGUCACCAGACCUGGGCUUUCAUUUAAUUCUACAUGUUAUAUUUUUAAGUGGAACAUUAUAUCAAAUAGACAUGACUAAAUGGCAUCUGUAGCAACAUUACCAUGAAAAAGCCUAAAUAAGUUAAUAAAGCAUGUGAAUUUAAACACAAACAGUAAUUUCUACUACUACUUGUUUUCUUUUGUUUUUUGCAUACACUGUGGUAUAAGCGGGACAGACCUUUUUCUGUAACAUCACCUUGGCAAAAAUGAACUCCUUCCAUUCCAUUGUCUGAUGCAACUAGAAUCCUGCAGGAAUGUCAUCUGUUGUGAAGGAAUCAUGCAGGUGUCCUGCAGGAAUCCUGAAGGAUUGACCUUGAUGAGAGAUUAUCCUGCAGAAAUCCAGAGAAUAUUGCACAACCCUGAAAAUUCAUGCAGGAAUCAAAAUCCUGCAGACUUCUAAAUUCCUGCAGGAUAUGACGAUCCCUGCAGGAAUAAAAAUUCCUGAAAAUGAAUAUUCUAGCAUGAAUCACACUGUAUAUUUUAAUAAACAAGCUGGAUAUGGCAAUUCCUGCUGGACUAAAACCGUCAGGAUUUAGAUUUUCCUGCAGGACAUGUGAAAAUGUGAAUUCCUGACAAUUUCUGUCAUCUGCUCAUACUAGUCAUGUAAUAUUAAGUAUUUAAUAUCUUGCAGGUGGAUUUCAGUCACACUAAGUAGAAGCAAUAGAUUCUGGGCUAGUAUUUUUUAUUGUCUCACUCAGAAUUUGAAACAAGCACAAGAUACUUUUAGAAAACGUUUUAAAAACAGCCAUGUAACAAUACAUGAUGUAAUAACACCGCAUUAUGUAAUAACUUGACCAAAUGUAAUACAUUUUCAAUUCAUUUUGUAAUAACACCCACAUUUUUACUAAUCUGCUUCAUUUGUAAUAAUCAGCUUGAAAGCAAUUUGUACUAAAUGUCCCCGCAUUUUGUAACAAAUUAUUACAUUAUGUGGUGAUUAUUACAAAAUGUGGGAGUUGGACUUAUAAAAAAUGAAAAUGUAAUUAUAUAGUGCAUUAUGUAAUAC